RNAcentral lists this unclassified non-coding RNA (353 nucleotides) under soil metagenome. RNAcentral describes it as "partial contains 5.8S ribosomal RNA, internal transcribed spacer 2, and large subunit ribosomal RNA". The stretch from base 1 to 120 matches the Rfam family "5.8S ribosomal RNA", at positions 35 to 154 of the family's 154-position model. The record is from RNAcentral.
GAUGAAGAACGUAGCGAAUUGCGAUAUGUAAUGUGAAUUGCAGAAUUCAGUGAAUCAUCGAAUCUUUGAACGCACAUUGCGCCCGCCAGUAUUCUGGCGGGCAUGCCUGUUCGAGCGUCAUUACAACCCUCAGGCCCCCGGGCCUGGCGUUGGGGAUCGGCGGAAGCCCCCUGCGGGCACAACGCCGUCCCCCAAAUACAGUGGCGGUCCCGCCGCAGCUUCCAUUGCGUAGUAGCUAACACCUCGCAACUGGAGAGCGGCGCGGCCACGCCGUAAAACACCCAACUUCUGAAUGUUGACCUCGAAUCAGGUAGGAAUACCCGCUGAACUUAAGCAUAUCAAUAAGCGGAGGA